This 94-nucleotide ribosomal RNA is filed under the name Kribbella sp. VKM Ac-2500. Its description in RNAcentral is "partial 16S ribosomal RNA". It matches the Rfam family "Bacterial small subunit ribosomal RNA", at positions 1 to 95 of the family's 1533-position model. The record is from RNAcentral. Lineage: Bacteria; Bacillati; Actinomycetota; Actinomycetes; Propionibacteriales; Kribbellaceae. RNAcentral also lists the same sequence under 1 other name.
UUUCAACGGAGAGUUUGAUCCUGGCUCAGGACGAACGCUGGCGGCGUGCUUAACACAUGCAAGUCGAGCGGUAAGGCCCUUCGGGGUACACGAG